This is a long non-coding RNA of Fukomys damarensis (Damara mole-rat), 478 nucleotides long. RefSeq lists it as uncharacterized. The transcript has 3 exons. NCBI's taxonomy places the organism in Eukaryota, Metazoa, Chordata, Mammalia, Rodentia, Bathyergidae. The record is from RefSeq and is a predicted model, not a curated record.
GGGCGCCCUCCUUCCCCAGCCCAUUGAAAAGCUCCCAGGUGUUCUGCAUCGCCUAGGGGCUCCUGGGCCCUGGGAAGUCAGAGGCUCUUCCUCCACCACCCGUCAGACCCGAGUUCCUUCCAUCAGACCCGGCAACCUCAGUCAGCAGAAAAUAAUGGCACCGGCUCUUGGGGGCACUAGAGGAAGGUGUCGGCUAACUUGUCCAGACUCCGAAGGUACCCGGUCCGGCGGCCAGGGCUAUUUAUGAGGUUGAGUACGCGAGUGUAUAAUGGAUGGGCUGCAGGAGGCAGCGAGAGCGCGGUCUAUGGCGAGAGGCCAGGCCGUGUGGCAGCAGGAAAGGACCCAGAAAGAGCCGUGGACAGAUCCCGGGUCUGAAGGAGGACACCUCCCGUAAGAAGGGCUAAGAGCUGGGUCUUGUCCGGGGCCACGGCACGGAGUCUCACAGCAGGACGCCUGGUGCUGCGUGCCCAUUGGUGGG